GGGGACGUAGCUCAGUUGGGAGAGCGGCUCGUUCGCAAUGAGCAGGUCGAGGGUUCGAAUCCCUUCGUCUCCA
RNAcentral lists this transfer RNA (73 nucleotides) under Phycisphaerae bacterium. Its description in RNAcentral is "tRNA-Ala". It matches the Rfam family "tRNA". From Rfam's summary of the family: Transfer RNA (tRNA) molecules are approximately 80 nucleotides in length. Their secondary structure includes four short double-helical elements and three loops (D, anti-codon, and T loops). RNAcentral also lists the same sequence under 4 other names. Lineage: Bacteria; Pseudomonadati; Planctomycetota; Phycisphaerae. The record is from RNAcentral.